UUGAGAGAACAACAUAAAAUGACGGAUGGUUGUGAAUGUGUGAAUGUGUCCCUUUCCUCGCCCCACCCCAUGUUGGCGGGCGAUUGACCGUAGCUCGGUGCGAUCAGCACUAAGGAACAAUGAACUCGGAAGCAAAGGGUCCCUUGGCGUGCGCAAGGAGAGCCCAAUGCGUCGGAGAUUCCUCGGAAUCAAAUGACUCUCGGCAAUGGAUAUCUCGGCUCUUGCAUCGAUGAAGAACGUAGUGAAAUGCGAUACUUGGUGUGAAUUGCAGAAUCUCGUGAACCAUUGAGUCUUUGAACGCAAGUUGUGCCCGAGGCCUUGUGGUCGAGGGCACGCCUGCUUGGGUGUCAUGGCAUCGUCGCCUUUGCUCCACGCAUGCGUUGCUGGUGCCGACUACUGAAAUUGUUGCCCUGUGGCGUCCUCCACCAUCGGCCGACGAAUAGUAAGAAGUCAAUCAUCGGCCGCCAUGAAUGUUGUUCGCCGUCAUGAGCAACAAAACAACGUCCUCCUCGUUUUUAUAAGAUUACUCCUCAAAACCUCCUGGAUUAUUGCGUCGGCCGAAAAAACCGCGUCGUUCAUCUACUU
This 585-nucleotide ribosomal RNA is filed under the name Scaphochlamys malaccana. RNAcentral's name for it is "eukaryotic LSU rRNA". The stretch from base 195 to 350 matches the Rfam family "5.8S ribosomal RNA". The record is from RNAcentral. Lineage: Eukaryota; Viridiplantae; Streptophyta; Magnoliopsida; Zingiberales; Zingiberaceae.